CAGAAAUUAUAUUCUGUGUACGAGAGAAUGAGGAGUAUACUCAUGACUAAGCACAGGAACCUGGAAAACUACAGGAUUCCUAGGAAGCCGUGGAGGAUGGGGUGAACUCAGAGCUGGAGCUUGAGGAUUUUUGGAACACAUGAAUGGGAAGUUAUCCUGGCCUUGGUCAGGUGAUCCAUGGUGACUGAUCUGCCUACCAAGAAGGUACCUCAGCAGCCAGGUAAGAGAUAAGCUGCAUGCUUUUACAUGCAACUGGAGGGCAGGGGGUUCAAACAGCCUAGCAUUGCUUGAAUAGUUUAGAAAAAAUGCUCCUGGUUUGCUUUGGUGUA
RNAcentral lists this long non-coding RNA (329 nucleotides) under Numida meleagris (helmeted guineafowl). RNAcentral's name for it is "lncRNA (ENSNMEG00000013115.1)". The record is from RNAcentral. Lineage: Eukaryota; Metazoa; Chordata; Aves; Galliformes; Numididae.